CUCAUAUUUGAGUGAAGAGAAACAGGAAGUGUCCCUCUUUUCCCAUUCCUCCUCCAGCAGCGCAAUGUGAUCCACCAGCAAGGAGGGAUGCCAAUAAGGCUUCCGAUAAGCCUUCAUCCAGCAGCUGGUGGAAGUAGAAGGAGAUACCCACAACUAAUCACCGAACUGAACUGGAACCAAGAUGCAGAGAAGGACGAGUGAAGAGCACAGGGGUCCAGACCAGGCUGGUGAAAACCACAGAAACAGCUGAACUGAACAUCGGAGAACUCUUGCUCCCCAGACUGAUACCUGGGAUACUAGCAUGGGACUGAUCCAGACCCCAGGAACAUGGGUUUCCAUGAGGAAACCUCAGAAACCUACGGGACCUCCUGUAGUAGUUCAGUAAUUAUCCCUAGCAUAGGUGUGGACUUUGGGAGCCCAUUCCACAUAGAGGAAUACUCCCUGAGCCAAGACACACAGGGGUGGGCCUAGGCCCUAUCCCAAAGGAUACAAUAGACACUGAUGACACCCUAUGGAAGGCCUCACCAUCAAGGGGGAGCAGAAAGGAUAUGUGAUACAUAGGAUUUUAGUUGGGAGGGGUGGUAGAGGAAGCCGGGUGGGAGAAGGGAACUGGGAUUGUCAUGUAAAACAAUCCUGUUUCUAAUACAAAUAAAAAAAGUUAAAAUGAUUUAUUGUUUUUAUGUGUGAGGCUAUUUUGUCUGUGUGCCACCAUGUGCAUGCAGUGCAUAUGAUUGCCAUUAGAGGGCGACAGAUCUUCUGAGACUAGAGUUAAUAGAUGGUUGUGAGCCACCAUUUGGGUAUUGAGAAUUGGAAUUUUUUUUUUUUUAGAUUUUUUAAAUUUAAAUUAGAAAAAAGCUUGUUUUACAGGUUAAUCCCAAUUUCUUCUUCCUCUCCUCCUCCUCUGCCCCCUACUAAUCUCCAUCCCAUCUCCGUUCUGCUCCCCCAGGAGGAUGAGGCCUUCUAAUGGGGGCUCUAGAAAGUCUGUCAUAUCAUUUGGAGCAGGGCCUACACCCUCCCCAGUGUGUCUAGGCUGGGAGAAUGUCCCUCUAUGUGGAAUGAGCUCCCAAAGUCCAUUUGUGUACUAGGGAUAAAUACUGAUCUACUAGCAGAGGCUCAAGAUUGCCAAGGCCUCCAAAUUGACAUCCCAUGUUCAGGGUGUCUGGAACAGUUCUAUGCUGGUUUCUGAGCUGUCAAUCUGAGGCCCAUGAGCAACCCCUUGUUCAGGUCAGCUGUUUCGAUGGGUUUCUCCAACCUGGUCUUGACCCAUUUGCUCAUCACUUCUCCCUCUCUGCAACUGGAUUCCAGGAGUUCAGUUCGGUGUUUAGCUGUGGGUGUCUGCUUCUGCUUCCUUCAGCUACUGGAUGAAUGCUCUAGAAUAUAAGGUAGUCAUCAAUCUCAGAGUCCUCUGGAAGAUCCACUAGUGCUCUCAGCUGUGAGCCAUUUGUCAAGACACUUGUCACACAUAUUUUGAGUACCAAUCCAGCCCAUGAUGUCACACAUUGGAAUACUAGAGUUUAAAAUGUCUGAGCGGAAGCUAAAACAUCUCUUUUGGAAUACAUAUUUAUCCUCAUCUCAGAGAAUUCAUACAAGUAAAUUUGCCGGAAAAUGAGCAGCUCUCCAGCAGCAGCUGAUGGCCCUUAGAAGAAUCAGGGCCUGCCACGUGUGACAGUCACUAGUAAUAGAUCCUUGCAGCCCUUCAUGAGAAAUGGAAUGGGUGCUACAGAAAAGACAUUUGUGACAGUGAACAUUUUUGGAAAUGUCUUUGGGGAACAGGAAAUGAAAAUCUACACAAAAAACAAAAGGCUUAACAGAUCUGAAUAUGAACCAGACAGGCAAGCCUUAUGUGGUCC
RNAcentral lists this long non-coding RNA (1850 nucleotides) under Cricetulus griseus (Chinese hamster). RNAcentral's name for it is "lncRNA (ENSCGRG00015035014.1)". Lineage: Eukaryota; Metazoa; Chordata; Mammalia; Rodentia; Cricetidae. The record is from RNAcentral.